RNAcentral lists this ribosomal RNA (271 nucleotides) under uncultured archaeon. RNAcentral's name for it is "partial 16S ribosomal RNA". It matches the Rfam family "Archaeal small subunit ribosomal RNA", at positions 477 to 747 of the family's 1478-position model. The record is from RNAcentral.
CAGCGUCUCAAGUAGCAAUCGCUUUUAUUGGGCCUAAAGCGUCCGUAGCCGGCGUGAUAAGUUUCUCGUGAAAUCGGUAGACUAAAUUUAUCGGCGUGCGAGAAAUACUGUCAUGCUAGGAACUGGGAGGAGUCAGAGGUACUCAUUGGGGAGCGGUAAAAUGUUAUAAUCCUUUGAGGACCACCUGUGGCGAAGGCGUCUGACUAGAACAGAUUCGACGGUGAGGGACGAAAGCUAGGGGAGCAAACCGGAUUAGAUACCCGAGUAGUCC